This 2939-nucleotide ribosomal RNA is filed under the name Providencia stuartii. RNAcentral describes it as "bacterial LSU rRNA". It matches the Rfam family "Bacterial large subunit ribosomal RNA". Lineage: Bacteria; Pseudomonadati; Pseudomonadota; Gammaproteobacteria; Enterobacterales; Morganellaceae. The record is from RNAcentral.
GGGUUGUGAGGUUAAGCGACUAAGCGUACACGGUGGAUGCCUAGGCAAUCAGAGGCGAUGAAGGACGUGCUAAUCUGCGAAAAGCGUCGGUAAGGUGAUAUGAACCGUUAUAACCGACGAUGUCCGAAUGGGGAAACCCAGUGCAAUUCGUUGCACUAUCGUUUGAUGAAUCCAUAGUCAAACGAGGCGAACCGGGGGAACUGAAACAUCUCAGUACCCCGAGGAAAAGAAAUCAACCGAGAUUCCCCUAGUAGCGGCGAGCGAACGGGGAGCAGCCCAGAGUCUUAAUCAGUAUCAGCAUCAGGAGAACGGUCUGGAAAGGCCGGCAAUAAAGGGUGAUAGCCCCGUAUCCGAAGGUGUUGGUGUUGUGAACUCGACGAGUAGGGCGGGACACGUGUUAUCCUGUCUGAAUAUGGGGGGACCAUCCUCCAAGGCUAAAUACUCCUGAUUGACCGAUAGUGAACCAGUACCGUGAGGGAAAGGCGAAAAGAACCCCGGCGAGGGGAGUGAAAUAGAACCUGAAACCGUGUACGUACAAGCAGUGGGAGCCUUGAUUUAUCAGGGUGACUGCGUACCUUUUGUAUAAUGGGUCAGCGACUUAUAUUCUGUAGCAAGGUUAACCGAAUAGGGGAGCCGUAGGGAAACCGAGUCUUAACUGGGCGAAUAAGUUGCAGGGUAUAGACCCGAAACCCGGUGAUCUAGCCAUGGGCAGGUUGAAGGUUGGGUAACACUAACUGGAGGACCGAACCGACUAAUGUUGAAAAAUUAGCGGAUGACUUGUGGCUGGGGGUGAAAGGCCAAUCAAACCGGGAGAUAGCUGGUUCUCCCCGAAAGCUAUUUAGGUAGCGCCUCGUGAACUCAUCUUCGGGGGUAGAGCACUGUUUCGGCUAGGGGGUCAUCCCGACUUACCAACCCGAUGCAAACUACGAAUACCGAAGAAUGUUAUCACGGGAGACACACGGCGGGUGCUAACGUUCGUCGUGAAGAGGGAAACAACCCAGACCGCCAGCUAAGGUCCCAAAGUCAUGGUUAAGUGGGAAACGAAGUGGGAAGGCUCAGACAGCCAGGAUGUUGGCUUAGAAGCAGCCAUCAUUUAAAGAAAGCGUAAUAGCUCACUGGUCGAGUCGGCCUGCGCGGAAGAUGUAACGGGGCUAAACCAUGCACCGAAGCUGCGGCAGCGACAUGUAAAUGUUGUUGGGUAGGGGAGCGUUCUGUAAGCCUGUGAAGGUGUGCUGCGAGGCAUGCUGGAGGUAUCAGAAGUGCGAAUGCUGACAUAAGUAACGAUAAUGCGGGUGAAAAACCCGCACGCCGGAAGACCAAGGGUUCCUGUCCAACGUUAAUCGGGGCAGGGUGAGUCGACCCCUAAGGCGAGGCAGAAAUGCGUAGUCGAUGGGAAACAGGUUAAUAUUCCUGUACUGGUGAUAAUUGCGAUGGGGGGACGGAGAAGGCUAGGCUGGCCGGGCGACGGUUGUCCCGGUUUAAGGAUGUAGGUGGGCGAAUUAGGCAAAUCCGGUUCGCUAUACACUGAGGUCUGAUGACGAGUCACUACGGUGGCGAAGUAGCUCAUGCCCCGCUUCCAGGAAAAGCCUCUAAGCUCUAGAUUAUCAUUAAUCGUACCCCAAACCGACACAGGUGGUCAGGUAGAGAAUACUCAGGCGCUUGAGAGAACUCGGGUGAAGGAACUAGGCAAAAUGGUGCCGUAACUUCGGGAGAAGGCACGCUGGCACUAGGUGAAGUCCCUUGCGGAUGGAGCUGAAGCCAGUCGCAGAUACCAGCUGGCUGCAACUGUUUAUUAAAAACACAGCACUGUGCAAACACGAAAGUGGACGUAUACGGUGUGACGCCUGCCCGGUGCUGGAAGGUUAAUUGAUGGGGUUAUCCGUAAGGAGAAGCUCUUGAUCGAAGCCCCAGUAAACGGCGGCCGUAACUAUAACGGUCCUAAGGUAGCGAAAUUCCUUGUCGGGUAAGUUCCGACCUGCACGAAUGGCGUAAUGAUGGCCAGGCUGUCUCCACCCGAGACUCAGUGAAAUUGAACUCGCUGUGAAGAUGCAGUGUACCCGCGGCAAGACGGAAAGACCCCGUGAACCUUUACUAUAGCUUGACACUGAACAUUGAGCCUUGAUGUGUAGGAUAGGUGGGAGGCUUUGAAGUGUGGACGCCAGUCUGCAUGGAGCCAACCUUGAAAUACCACCCUUUAAUGUUUGAUGUUCUAACGUUGCCCCAUAAUCUGGGGUGCGGACAGUGUCUGGUGGGUAGUUUGACUGGGGCGGUCUCCUCCCAAAGCGUAACGGAGGAGCACGAAGGUUGGCUAAGCAUGGUCGGACAUCAUGCGGUUAGUGCAAAGGCAUAAGCCAGCUUGACUGCGAGAGUGACGGCUCGAGCAGGUACGAAAGUAGGUCUUAGUGAUCCGGUGGUUCUGAAUGGAAGGGCCAUCGCUCAACGGAUAAAAGGUACUCCGGGGAUAACAGGCUGAUACCGCCCAAGAGUUCAUAUCGACGGCGGUGUUUGGCACCUCGAUGUCGGCUCAUCACAUCCUGGGGCUGAAGUAGGUCCCAAGGGUAUGGCUGUUCGCCAUUUAAAGUGGUACGCGAGCUGGGUUUAGAACGUCGUGAGACAGUUCGGUCCCUAUCUGCCGUGGGCGUUGGAAGAUUGAAAGGGGCUGCUCCUAGUACGAGAGGACCGGAGUGGACGCACCGCUGGUGUUCGGGUUGUCAUGCCAAUGGCACUGCCCGGUAGCUAAGUGCGGAAGAGAUAACCGCUGAAAGCAUCUAAGCGGGAAACUUGCCUUGAGAUGAGUCUUCCCUGACUCUUUAAGGGUCCUAAAGGAACGUUUAAGACGAAGACGUUGAUAGGCUGGGUGUGUAAGCGUAGCGAUACGUUGAGCUAACCAGUACUAAUGAACCGUGAGGCUUAACCUGACAACACCGAAGGUGUUUUAG